Molecule: transfer RNA, 73 nt
Filed under: Fukomys damarensis (Damara mole-rat)
Lineage: Eukaryota; Metazoa; Chordata; Mammalia; Rodentia; Bathyergidae
Rfam family: tRNA
About the family: Transfer RNA (tRNA) molecules are approximately 80 nucleotides in length. Their secondary structure includes four short double-helical elements and three loops (D, anti-codon, and T loops).
Source: Rfam by way of RNAcentral
GGAGAUAUAGCUCAGUGGUUCCAGAGCCUGCCUUGCAAGUGCAAGGACCCGAGUUCGAUCCCCAGUAGCACCA